CUACGGGCGGCAGCAGUGGGGAAUAUUGGACAAUGGGGGAAACCCUGAUCCAGCAAUGCCGCGUGUGUGAAGAAGGCCUGCGGGUUGUAAAGCACUUUCGGUUGGGAGGACUGCUUCUAGCACUAAUAUUGUUGGAAGUUGACGUUACCUUCAGAAGAAGCACCGGCUAACUCCGUGCCAGCAGCCGCGGUAAUACGGAGGGUGCAAGCGUUAAUCGGAAUUACUGGGCGUAAAGCGCGCGUAGGCGGCUAGAUCAGUCGGGUGUGAAAGCCCGGGCUUAACCUGGGAACUGCAUCCGAUACUGUCUAGCUUGAGUACAGGAGAGGAGAGUGGAAUUCCACAUGUAGUGGUGAAAUGCGUAGAUAUGUGGAGGAACACCAAUGGCGAAGGCAGCUCUCUGGCCUGAUACUGACGCUGAGGUGCGAAAGCGUGGGAAGCAAACAGGAUUAGAUACCCCUGUAGUC
This 464-nucleotide ribosomal RNA is filed under the name uncultured bacterium. RNAcentral's name for it is "partial 16S ribosomal RNA". It matches the Rfam family "Bacterial small subunit ribosomal RNA", at positions 339 to 795 of the family's 1533-position model. The record is from RNAcentral.